This 503-nucleotide ribosomal RNA is filed under the name uncultured bacterium. Its description in RNAcentral is "partial 16S ribosomal RNA". It matches the Rfam family "Bacterial small subunit ribosomal RNA", at positions 28 to 523 of the family's 1533-position model. The record is from RNAcentral.
GAUGAACGCUAGCGGCAGGCCUAACACAUGCAAGUCGAGAGGUAGCAGGAUUAAGCUUGCUUAAUUGCUGACGACCGGCGCACGGGUGCGUAACGCGUAUGCAACCUACCUUAUACUGGGGUAUAGCCCCGAGAAAUUCGGAUUAAUCCCCCAUAGUACUAAUGAAUCGCAUGGUUUAUUAGUUAAAGCAUUGCGGUAUAAGAUGGGCAUGCGUCCUAUUAGCUAGAUGGUGAGGUAACGGCUCACCAUGGCUACGAUAGGCAGGGGGCCUGGGAGGGUGGUCCCCCACACUGGUACUGAGACACGGACCAGACUCCUACGGGAGGCAGCAGUGAGGAAUAUUGGUCAAUGGGCGCAAGCCUGAACCAGCCAUGCCGCGUGCAGGAAGAAUGCCCUAUGGGUUGUGAACUGCUUUUAUUUGGGAAUAAACCUCUUUACGUGUAGAGAGCUGAAGGUACCAAAUGAAUAAGCACCGGCUAACUCCGUGCCAGCCGCCGCCGUAA